RNAcentral lists this ribosomal RNA (496 nucleotides) under uncultured bacterium. RNAcentral's name for it is "partial 16S ribosomal RNA". It matches the Rfam family "Bacterial small subunit ribosomal RNA", at positions 29 to 507 of the family's 1533-position model. The record is from RNAcentral.
AUGAACGCUGGCGGCGUGCCUAAUACAUGCAAGUCGAGCGAACAGACGAGGAGCUUGCUCUUCUGACGUUAGCGGCGGACGGGUGAGUAACACGUGGAUAACCUACCUAUAAGACUGGGAUAACUUCGGGAAACCGGAGCUAAUACCGGAUAAUAUAUUGAACCGCAUGGUUCAAUAGUGAAAGACGGUUUUGCUGUCACUUAUAGAUGGAUCCGCGCCGCAUUAGCUAGUUGGUAAGGUAACGGCUUACCAAGGCGACGAUGCGUAGCCGACCUGAGAGGGUGAUCGGCCACACUGGAACUGAGACACGGUCCAGACUCCUACGGGAGGCAGCAGUAGGGAAUCUUCCGCAAUGGGCGAAAGCCUGACGGAGCAACGCCGCGUGAGUGAUGAAGGUCUUCGGAUCGUAAAACUCUGUUAUUAGGGAAGAACAAAUGUGUAAGUAACUAUGCACGUCUUGACGGUACCUAAUCAGAAAGCCACGGCUAACUACGUG